This 622-nucleotide long non-coding RNA is filed under the name Phoenix dactylifera (date palm). RNAcentral's name for it is "long non-coding RNA (PDAC_LNC020459)". Lineage: Eukaryota; Viridiplantae; Streptophyta; Magnoliopsida; Arecales; Arecaceae. The record is from RNAcentral.
AACCUACAAGGACCCAAAAGAGCUUGGGUUCCUAAGUUGAAAAUCUGAAUAUUUUCUGUAGGUAUGUCUAGCACUCAAGGCUCCAACAAAAGAUGCUAAUUUAGAAAUUGGGUGCUCUAGACAUAUAUUAAAGAAUGAAACUUAAAAUAUACUUUAGAAAAAUAAUUGAAAUGAAAAGAAUAAUGAAAUUAGUAAUCCUUGCAUCUUAUCAUUCUCUUUGCCUUAGUAUCUAAUUAAAACAUAAAUUGGAGGUAUUAAUCAAUUUUGUGAUAUAGGUAAUAUUUUUAAAAAUAUAAUCAAAUCACUUUAUUUUAUAGUAUGCCUUAUUUACUGCUGGAUAAGUUGCUAAAUGAUUAAUCAAUUUAUUAAGAAUAACUUUAUGAAUUCUCUAUAUGCUUGAUUGAGAGUUUUUAUCAAUGGUAUUAUCUUAUUGAUCAUAGACAUGAGAAUGUAUACUUGGUAUGCCUUUAAAUAUAUGCACUAUGAAUACCAAGAUUAAAGAAACCACUUUUGGCAUAUAAAAUCAACUCAUACUAGUAUGGACUUAAUCACAAAAGACCUUGUCAUUGGUUCACUUAGAUUAAUUUUUGCAAGGUCAAAGUUUGCUAUGUAUGUCAUCUAG